CGCCACAGAGCAGUAACUCUUCCAUUGCUGCAGCCCCGUUUCACAUCCUCACCGGGGCUCUGUCCACUGAGCAGAGAGAUGGGGUCCACGCAGUCUUUCCUGACCUGAGCUUUCUCAGAGAGCGGCCAGACUCAGAACAACUACAGAGAAAUAUCAAAGGACUGCCCAAGGGCCAGUGCUUUGUCAUUGCUUAUUUCGUCAAGACAGUAAAUGACUGCAACAAAGGUCCCGUUUUAUUCUCAAGAGCAAUGCGUCAAUUCUGUGAAGUGAGUUUGCAAAAUCCAAGUUCAAUGAUGUGUGGCUGUUUCAAAGAACACUGGCUGGAUAACUGAGACCAAUUCAAAACAAUCUCACUGAAGAUCAUAAAAGUCCAUACAACGUCAAAGAGGGAGCCUAUCUCAGAUGAAAAACGUAACAGGGAAUGAGCCCGUAGAUAUCAGCUCUGGCACUAUGGAUUUCUAUUUUCAGGUUCUUUGUUCAAUAAAGAGUUUCCUUUUGAUUUUUCCUUAAUCACACGUUA
Myotis myotis is the source of this 520-nucleotide long non-coding RNA. RefSeq lists it as uncharacterized. The record is from RefSeq and is a predicted model, not a curated record. The transcript has 4 exons. NCBI's taxonomy places the organism in Eukaryota, Metazoa, Chordata, Mammalia, Chiroptera, Vespertilionidae.